This 497-nucleotide ribosomal RNA is filed under the name uncultured bacterium. RNAcentral's name for it is "partial 16S ribosomal RNA". It matches the Rfam family "Bacterial small subunit ribosomal RNA", at positions 28 to 507 of the family's 1533-position model. The record is from RNAcentral.
GAUGAACGCUGGCGGCGUGCCUAAUACAUGCAAGUCGAGCGAACGGACGAGAAGCUUGCUUCUCUGAUAUUAGCGGCGGACGGGUGAGUAACACGUGGAUAACCUACCUAUAAGACUGGGAUAACUUCGGGAAACCGUAGCUAAUACCGGAUAAUAUUUUGAACCGCAUGGUUCAAAAGUGAAAGACGGUCUUGCUGUCACUUAUAGAUGGAUCCGCGCUGCAUUAGCUAGUUGGUAAGGUAACGGCUUACCAAGGCAACGAUGCAUAGCCGACCUGAGAGGGGGAUCCGCCACACCGGAACCUAGACACCGUCCCAAAUCCCUAGGGAGGCAGCAGUAGGGAAUCUUCCGCAAUGGGCGAAAGCCUGACGGAGCAACGCCGCGUGAGUGAUGAAGGUCUUCGGAUCGUAAAACUCUGUUAUUAGGGAAGAACAUAUGUGUAAGUAACUGUGCACAUCUUGACGGUACCUAAUCAGAAAGCCACGGCUAACUACGUG